This 151-nucleotide small RNA is filed under the name Microtus ochrogaster (prairie vole). RNAcentral's name for it is "7SK RNA (ENSMOCG00000005568.1)". It matches the Rfam family "7SK RNA", at positions 116 to 272 of the family's 331-position model. From Rfam's summary of the family: 7SK was discovered as an abundant small nuclear RNA in the mid-70s but a possible function has only recently been suggested. Two independent studies have found that 7SK RNA binds the CDK9/cyclin T complex (known as elongation factor P-TEFb). Lineage: Eukaryota; Metazoa; Chordata; Mammalia; Rodentia; Cricetidae. The record is from RNAcentral.
CCUCUUCUGAAGUGGACUGGGUUGAAGAAGACCACUUUCCUUGAGUAGAGGAGAGUCAGCCUUCAGUCAAGUGUAUAUGAGUAGCUGCCGUCCCUGCUAGAACCUCCAAUCAAGCUCUCACAUACGUUAUCUUGGGGGUUAGGAUUUCAGG